UGAGGAAUAUUGGUCAAUGGGUGCAAGCCUGAACCAGCCAUCCCGCGUGAAGGACGACUGCCCUAUGGGUUGUAAACUUCUUUUGUAUAGGGAUAAACCUACCCUCGUGAGGGUAGCUGAAGGUACUAUACGAAUAAGCACCGGCUAACUCCGUGCCAGCAGCCGCGGUAAUACGGAGGGUGCAAGCGUUAUCCGGAUUUAUUGGGUUUAAAGGGUCCGUAGGCGGACUUAUAAGUCAGUGGUGAAAGCCUGUCGCUUAACGAUAGAAAUGCCAUUGAUACUGUAAGUCUUGAGUAUAUUUGAGGUAGCUGGAAUAAGUAGUGUAGCGGUGAAAUGCAUAGAUAUUACUUAGAACACCAAUUGCGAAGGCAGGUUACCAAGAUAUAACUGACGCUGAGGGACGAAAGCGUGGGGAGCGAACA
Molecule: ribosomal RNA, 422 nt
Filed under: uncultured bacterium
Lineage: Bacteria
Description: bacterial SSU rRNA
Rfam family: Bacterial small subunit ribosomal RNA
Source: RNAcentral